AUACGGAGGGUGCAAGCGUUACUCGGAAUCACUGGGCGUAAAGCGCGCGCAGGCGGCUUGAUAAGUUGGAUGUGAAAGCCUACGGCUCAACCGUAGAACUGCAUCCAAAACUGUCAAGCUCGAGUCUGGGAGGGGAAGAUGGAAUUAGUUGUGUAGGGGUAAAAUCCGUAGAGAUAACUAGGAAUACCAAAAGCGAAGGCGAUCUUCUGGAACAGUACUGACGCUGAGGCGCGAAAGCGUGGGGAGCAAACAGGAUUAGAAACCCCAGUAGUCC
Molecule: ribosomal RNA, 274 nt
Filed under: uncultured bacterium
Lineage: Bacteria
Description: partial 16S ribosomal RNA
Rfam family: Bacterial small subunit ribosomal RNA
Source: RNAcentral